Molecule: ribosomal RNA, 1686 nt
Filed under: human gut metagenome
Description: bacterial LSU rRNA
Rfam family: Bacterial large subunit ribosomal RNA
Source: RNAcentral
AGCUCACUAGUCGAGUGACACUGCGCCGAAGAUGUACCGGGGCUAAACACAAUACCGAAGCUGCGGACUUGCACGUAAGUGUAAGUGGUAGGGGAGCGUUCUAAGGGCGUUGAAGGUAGACCGUGAGGACUAUUGGAGCGCUUAGAAGUGAGAAUGCCGGUGUGAGUAACGAAAAUUGGGUGAGAAUCCCAUUCACCGUUUGACUAAGGGUUCCUGGGUAAAGUUCGUCUUCCCAGGGUAAGUCAGGACCUAAGAUGAGGCUGAAAAGCGUAGUCGAUGGACAACAGGUUGAUAUUCCUGUACCACCUAUAUGACUGAAGGAGUGACGGAGAAAGCUAACGAGGGCCAGUUAAUGGAUUCUGGUCUAAGUGCGUAGGCUAGUAUGUUGGCAAAUCCGCAAUACUAUAAUAGCUGAAACAUGAUGGGGAAGUGAGUCUUCGGACGAGCGAACUCUCGUGAUGCUAUGCUUCCAAGAAAAGCUUCUAGGGCUAAUUGUAUAGGUGCCUGUACCGACAACCGACACAGGUGGUCAAGGAGAGUAUCCUAAGGUGAGCGAGAGAACUAUGGUUAAGGAACUCGGCAAAAUGACCCCGUAACUUCGGGAGAAGGGGUGGUCUAGCGAUAGACCCGCAGUGAAUAGGCCCAGGCAACUGUUUACCAAAAACACAGGUCUCUGCUAACACGAAAGUGGAUGUAUAGGGGCUGACGCCUGCCCAGUGCUGGAAGGUUAAAGAGAUUAGUUAGUAUGACGUAAGUCGAUAAUACGAAGCUUUGAACUGAAGCCCCAGUGAACGGCGGCCGUAACUAUAACGGUCCUAAGGUAGCGAAAUUCCUUGUCAGGUAAGUUCUGACCCGCACGAAAGGCGUAAUGAUCUGGGUACUGUCUCAACCAUAGACUCGGUGAAAUCUUAAUACCUGUGAAAAUGCAGGUUACCCGCGACUGGACGGAAAGACCCCGUGGAGCUUUACUGUAGCUUGAUAUUGGGAUUCGGUAAAUUAUGUAGAGCAUAGGUGGGAGACUAUGAGAUUAAGGCGCCAGCCUUAAAGGAGUCAUCAUUGGAAUACCACCCUUAGUUUAUUGAAUUUCUAACCUAGGACCAUGAUCUGGUUCAGGGACAGUGUCUGGUGGGCAGUUUGACUGGGGCGGUCGCCUCCUAAAAUGUAACGGAGGCGUUCAAAGGUUCCCUCAGAAUGGUUGGAAAUCAUUCGCAGAGCGUAAAGGUAUAAAGGGAGCUUGACUGCGAGACCUACAAGUCAAGCAGGUGCGAAAGCAGGACUUAGUGAUCAGGCGAUUCAGAAUGGAAUGGUCGUCGCUUAACGGAUAAAAGUUACCCCGGGGAUAACAGGCUGAUACCACCCAAUAGUUCACAUAGACGGUGGUGUUUGGCACCUCGAUGUCGGCUCGUCAUAUCCUGGAGGUGGAGUUGCUUCCAAGGGUUGGGCUGUUCGCCCAUUAAAAUGGCACGCGAGCUGGGUUCAGAACGUCGUGAGACAGUUCGGUCCCUAUCCGUCGUGGGCGCAGGAAAAUUGAGGAGAGCUAUCCUUAGUACGAGAGGACCGGGAUGGACCUACCUCUGGUGUAUCUGUUGUCACGCCAGUGGCAGUGCAGAGUAGCUAUGUAGGGAAGGGAUAAACGCUGAAAGCAUCUAAGCGUGAAGCCCUCUCCAAGAUGAGUUUUCCCAUUGU